AAACCAGCACCUCAAGUGGUCAGGAGGAUUAUUGGGCCUAAAGCAUCCGUAGCCUGUUCUGUAAGUUUUCGGUUAAAUCCAUUAGCUCAACUAAUGGGCCGCCGAAAAUACUGCAGAGCUAGGGAGUGGGAGAGGUAGACGGUACUCGGUAGGAAGGGGUAAAAUCCUUUGAUCUAUCGAUGACCACCUGUGGCGAAGGCGGUCUACCAGAACACGUCCGACGGUGAGGGAUGAAAGCUGGCGGAGCAAACCGGAUUAGAUACCCCGGUAGUCC
This 274-nucleotide ribosomal RNA is filed under the name uncultured bacterium. Its description in RNAcentral is "partial 16S ribosomal RNA". It matches the Rfam family "Archaeal small subunit ribosomal RNA", at positions 473 to 747 of the family's 1478-position model. The record is from RNAcentral.